Molecule: ribosomal RNA, 495 nt
Filed under: uncultured bacterium
Lineage: Bacteria
Description: bacterial SSU rRNA
Rfam family: Bacterial small subunit ribosomal RNA
Source: RNAcentral
ACUCAAAGGAAUUGACGGGGGCCCGCACAAGCAGUGGAGUAUGUGGUUUAAUUCGAAGCAACGCGAAGAACCUUACCAGGGCUUGACAUGGCAGCGACAGGUAUAGAGAUAUACCCUUCUUCGGACGCUGCACACAGGUGGUGCAUGGUUGUCGUCAGCUCGUGUCGUGAGAUGUUGGGUUAAGUCCCGCAACGAGCGCAACCCCUAUUGUCAGUUGCUAACAUUCAGUUGAGAACUCUGGCAAGACUGCCGGUGACAAAUCGGAGGAAGGUGGGGACGACGUCAAAUCAUCAUGCCCCUUAUGUCCUGGGCUACACACGUACUACAAUGGCCGUUAACAACAGGAAGCGAAGCCGCGAGGCGGAGCAAAUCCCCAAAAACGGUCUCAGUUCAGAUUGUAGGCUGAAACUCGCCUGCAUGAAGUCGGAAUUGCUAGUAAUCGCGAAUCAGCAUGUCGCGGUGAAUACGUUCCCGGGCCUUGUACACACCGCCCGU